This 432-nucleotide ribosomal RNA is filed under the name uncultured bacterium. Its description in RNAcentral is "partial 16S ribosomal RNA". It matches the Rfam family "Bacterial small subunit ribosomal RNA", at positions 30 to 505 of the family's 1533-position model. The record is from RNAcentral.
ACCGAACGCUGGCGGCAGGCCUAACACAUGCAAGUCGAACGAACCUUUCGGGGUUAGUGGCGGACGGGUGAGUAACACGUGGGAACGUGCCUUUAGGUUCGGAAUAACUCAGGGAAACUUGUGCUAAUACCGAAUGUGCCCUUCGGGGGAAAGAUUAAUCGCCUUUAGAGCGGCCCGCGUCUGAUUAGCUAGUUGGUUGAGGUAAUGGCUCACCAAGGCGACGAUCAGUAGCUGGUCUGAGAGGAUGAUCAGCCACAUUGGGACUGAGACACGGCCCAAACUCCUACGGGAGGCAGCAGUGGGGAAUCUUGCGCAAUGGGCGAAAGCCUGACGCAGCCAUGCCGCGUGAAUGAUGAAGGUCUUAGGAGUGUAAAAUUCUUUCACCGGGGACGAUAAUGACGGUACCCGGAGAAGAAGCCCCGGCUAACUUCG